CCUGAACACAACUGAGCUCCUCUGAUCUCAGAAGGUAAGCAGG
This 43-nucleotide ribosomal RNA is filed under the name Dasypus novemcinctus (nine-banded armadillo). Lineage: Eukaryota; Metazoa; Chordata; Mammalia; Cingulata; Dasypodidae. The record is from RNAcentral.